UCAUUCCUUUGACUUAGAGUUAGAGGGAGAUAACUUACACUCAAUAUUUUUCAGCGAGAUUUAAAAAGUGAUUGAUUUGAAUUAAAAAGUGACAGUGUGUUGCUGAAAAAUAUCGAGAGUGAGUUAACUCCCGUUGGAACAAGAAAUGAAUCAUUUUAAAAGGGAGAAAAGCAGUUUUCUUACUGUUUUAAAUCUGCACGGUCACGGUAGGCCCAUUUGGAUUCACAGUUAGUUCAGUUGUUGCC
RNAcentral lists this long non-coding RNA (245 nucleotides) under Medicago truncatula (barrel medic). Its description in RNAcentral is "long non-coding RNA (MTRU_LNC001530)". The record is from RNAcentral. Lineage: Eukaryota; Viridiplantae; Streptophyta; Magnoliopsida; Fabales; Fabaceae.